UACAGAGGGGGCAAGCGUUGUUCGGAAUUACUGGGCGUAAAGGGCGCGUAGGCGGGUCUUUAAGUCAGGGGUGAAAUCCUGGAGCUCAACUCCAGAACUGCCUUUGAUACUGAAGAUCUUGAGUUCGGGAGAGGUGAGUGGAACUGCGAGUGUAGAGGUGAAAUUCGUAGAUAUUCGCAAGAACACCAGUGGCGAAGGCGGCUCACUGGCCCGAUACUGACGCUGAGGCACGAAAGCGUGGGGAGCAAACAGG
This 253-nucleotide ribosomal RNA is filed under the name uncultured bacterium. Its description in RNAcentral is "partial 16S ribosomal RNA". It matches the Rfam family "Bacterial small subunit ribosomal RNA", at positions 524 to 776 of the family's 1533-position model. The record is from RNAcentral.